GACGAACGCUGGCGGCGUGCUUAACACAUGCAAGUCGAACGAUGAAGAAGAGAAACGCGAACUUCGGUUCAAAUUUCACUUCGGAUUAGUGGCAGACGGGUGAGUAACGCGUGAGCAACCUACCUCUUACAAAGGGAUAGCCUCGGGAAACCGUGAUUAAUACCAUAUGACACAUUCAUAAGGCAUCUUAAGACUGUUAAAGCUACGGCGGUAAGAGAUGGGCUCGCGUGCCAUUAGCUAGUUGGUGAGGUAACGGCCCACCAAGGCGACGAUGGGUAACCGGGCUGAGAGGGUGAACGGUCACAUUGGAACUGAGACACGGUCCAAACUCCUACGGGAAGCAGCAGUGGGGAAUAUUGCACAAUGGAGGGAACUCUGAUGCAGCGACGCCGCGUGAGCGAUGAAGGAAUUCGUUUCGUAAAGCUCUGUUCUAUGGGAAGAAAAGGACUGUACCAUAGGAGAAAGCCCCGGCUAAAUACGUG
Molecule: ribosomal RNA, 482 nt
Filed under: uncultured bacterium
Lineage: Bacteria
Description: partial 16S ribosomal RNA
Rfam family: Bacterial small subunit ribosomal RNA
Source: RNAcentral